RNAcentral lists this ribosomal RNA (253 nucleotides) under uncultured bacterium. Its description in RNAcentral is "partial 16S ribosomal RNA". It matches the Rfam family "Bacterial small subunit ribosomal RNA", at positions 524 to 776 of the family's 1533-position model. The record is from RNAcentral.
UACGGAGGGUGCAAGCGUUAUCCGGAUUCACUGGGUUUAAAGGGCGCGUAGGUGGGUUGGUAAGUCAGUGGUGAAAUCUCCGAGCUUAACUUGGAAACUGCCAUUGAUACUAUCAGUCUUGAAUAUUGUGGAGGUUAGCGGAAUAUGUCAUGUAGCGGUGAAAUGCUUAGAUAUGACAUAGAACACCAAUUGCGAAGGCAGCUGGCUACGCAUAUAUUGACACUGAGGCACGAAAGCGUGGGGAUCAAACAGG